GCAACUCUAACUACUUAAAUUUCAAUUCUUUCGGGAUUUUCAUCCCACGUUUCAAUUUUCUUCUUCAUUAUCAAACUGUUUUUUUCUCUGUAUAAACAGCAAUCUCUGAUGUCAAAAAAUAAAUAUAGCAAUCGGCUAAGUUAUUCUCAAACUCCACCAGAUUGGUCUUCCUUUUUCUUUAUGUUCUCAUAGGUUCACAUAUGGUGGCUCUGCAACUUUUUAGACGACCAAAAUAGACAAGAACUUCUCAAUCUUCUUAUUGAUAUUCCUUUUUGUCUAUAUUCUCACGGUUUUUCUGCUUAUCUUUUCUGAAAUAAUCUUUUUAGAAAUGAUUGAAUUACUACUGUACUUUUCUAUUGCUUCUAACAUCUUUUUGUGACAGUUGUUACAUUCUCACGAUGAUUUUUGAAAUCCUUUAAUUAACAGGAACGCCAGUUUCUCACCGUUUAUCAGUAAUGAAGGAUUUCAAGAAUCAUCGACAAAAUUUGAAGCUAGAGAAGACAUUGCUAACAAAUAAGAAAAUGUAAAGAAAGAAUUCAGUAAGCAUCUUGAAUAUUAUUGAGCAAUUUACGUCAAAACAUGAGGAAAUUGUAUAUGAGUGAUGAUUUUGAUAAUGUUUGGGAAAAAGAAGCAGAUAAAAAUUUCAAAACU
This is a long non-coding RNA of Brassica napus (rape), 651 nucleotides long. RefSeq lists it as uncharacterized. NCBI's taxonomy places the organism in Eukaryota, Viridiplantae, Streptophyta, Magnoliopsida, Brassicales, Brassicaceae. The record is from RefSeq and is a predicted model, not a curated record. The transcript has 3 exons.